Molecule: small RNA, 3174 nt
Filed under: Pongo abelii (Sumatran orangutan)
Lineage: Eukaryota; Metazoa; Chordata; Mammalia; Primates; Hominidae
Description: retained intron
Source: RNAcentral
GGAAGGCAGGCAUGUGGAAGCCAGGUGCUGAGUCCCGGCCUCUCCACACAGGUGCUGCCCAGGUGAUGUGGUUUGAGAAGCUGUAUGCUGGCCUGCAGUGCGUAGAGAAGUACCUCAUCUACCCCGCCGUGGUGCUCAACGCCCUCACGGUGGACGCCCACACAGUCGUCAGCCACCCGGACAAGUACUGCCUCUACUGCCGAGCGCUGCUGAUGACCGUGGCUGGGCUGAAGCUGCUGCGCUCAGCCUUCUGCUGCCCCCCGCAGCAGUACCUGACGUUGGCCUUCACCGUCCUGCUCUUCCACUUUGACUACCCGCGCCUCUCCCAGGGCUUUCUGCUUGACUACUUCCUCAUGUCCCUGCUUUGCAGCAAGCUGUGGGACCUGCUGUACAAGCUGCGUUUCGUGCUGACCUACAUCGCGCCCUGGCAGAUCACCUGGGGCUCGGCUUUCCACGCUUUUGCCCAGCCCUUUGCCGUGCCACACUCGGCCAUGCUGUUCGUCCAGGCCCUGCUCUCGGGGCUCUUCUCCACGCCUCUCAACCCGCUGCUAGGCAGCGCCGUCUUCAUCAUGUCCUACGCUCGGCCCCUCAAGUUCUGGGAGCGCGACUACAACACUAAACGUGUGGAUCAUUCCAACACCCGCCUGGUCACACAGCUGGACCGGAACCCUGGCGCUGAUGACAACAACCUCAACUCCAUCUUCUAUGAGCACUUGACCCGUUCGCUGCAGCACACGCUGUGUGGGGACCUGGUGCUGGGCCGCUGGGGCAACUAUGGCCCUGGUGACUGCUUCGUCCUGGCCUCCGACUACCUCAACGCCCUGGUGCACCUCAUCGAGGUUGGCAAUGGGCUCGUCACCUUCCAGCUGCGUGGCCUUGAGUUCCGGGGCACUUACUGCCAGCAGCGCGAGGUGGAGGCCAUCACCGAGGGUGUGGAGGAGGACGAGGGCUGUUGCUGCUGUGAACCUGGCCACCUGCCACGGGUCCUGUCCUUCAAUGCCGCCUUUGGGCAGCGCUGGCUGGCUUGGGAGGUGACAGCCAGCAAGUACGUGCUGGAGGGCUAUAGCAUUAGUGACAAUAAUGCUGCCUCCAUGCUGCAGGUUUUCGACCUCCGCAAGAUCCUCAUCACCUACUAUGUCAAGAGCAUCAUCUACUACGUGAGCCGCUCACCAAAACUGGAGGUAUGGCUCAGCCAUGAGGGCAUCGCGGCAGCCCUGAGGCCUGUGCGGGCGCCCGGCUAUGCCGACUCGGAUCCCACCUUCUCGCUGAGUGUGGAUGAGGACUAUGACCUCCGCCUGUCUGGCCUCUCGCUGCCCUCCUUUUGCGCAGUGCACCUCGAGUGGAUCCAGUACUGCGCGUCCCGGCGCAGCCAGCCCGUGGACCAGGAUUGGAACUCCCCGCUGGUCACGCUGUGUUUUGGCCUGUGUGUGCUGGGCCGCCGGGCCCUGGGGACAGCAUCUCACAGCAUGUCUGCAAGCCUGGAGCCCUUCCUCUACGGCCUGCACGCCCUGUUCAAGGGAGAUUUUCGCAUCACCUCCCCACGUGACGAGUGGGUCUUUGCCGACAUGGAUCUGCUUCACCGCGUUGUGGCGCCUGGGGUUCGCAUGGCCCUCAAGCUUCACCAGGACCACUUCACGUCCCCAGAUGAAUAUGAGGAGCCAGCAGCCCUAUACGAUGCCAUUGCGGCCAACGAAGAGCGGCUGGUCAUCUCACAUGAGGGCGACCCGGCAUGGCGCAGCGCCAUCCUCAGCAACACGCCCUCCCUGCUGGCGCUGCGCCACGUCCUGGAUGAUGCUUCCGACGAGUACAAGAUCAUCAUGCUCAACCGGCGCCACCUCAGCUUCCGAGUCAUCAAGGUGAACCGGGAGUGCGUGCGUGGCCUAUGGGCUGGGCAGCAGCAGGAGCUGGUGUUCCUGCGCAACCGCAACCCCGAGCGUGGCAGCAUCCAGAAUGCCAAGCAGGCGCUUCGCAACAUGAUCAACUCCUCCUGUGACCAGCCGCUGGGCUACCCCAUCUACGUGUCGCCUCUUACCACCUCGCUGGCUGGCAGCCACCCCCAGCUACGGGCACUGUGGGGUGGCCCCAUCAGCCUGGGUGCCAUUGCCCGCUGGCUCCUGCGCAGCUGGGAGAGGCUUCACAAGGGCUGUGGCGCCGGCUGCAAUAGUGGCGGGAACGUGGAUGAUUCAGACUGUAGUGGGGGCGGUGGCCUGACCUCCCUCAGCAAUAACCCCCCCGUGGCACACCCCACGCCUGAGAACACGGCAGGCAAUGGUGACCAACCCCUCCCACCAGGCCCUGGCUGGGGGCCUCGAUCCUCCCUGAGUGGCUCUGGUGAUGGGCGGCCCCCACCUCUGCUGCAGUGGCCUCCCCCUCGGCUCCCUGGACCACCCCCUGCAUCGCCUAUCCCCACAGAGGGUCCCCGGACCUCACGGCCCCCUGGCCCUGGUCUCCUCAGUUCUGAGGGCCCCAGUGGGAAGUGGAGCCUGGGGGGCCGGAAGGGGCUGGGAGGAUCUGACGGGGAGCCAGCCUCAGGGAGCCCCAAAGGAGGUACCCCCAAAUCUCAGGUAAGGCACCUGUGGGAGGGUUGGGUCCCAGAAGGCUAAGGCCUGCUCACCCGCCAAUCUCUCUCCCCUCCCCCAGGCGCCUCUAGACCUCAGCCUCAGCCUCAGCCUCAGCCCCGAUGUCAGCACUGAGGCCUCACCCCCCAGAGCUUCCCAGGACAUUCCUUGCUUGGACAGCAGUGCCCCUGAGAGUGGCACACCUACAGGUGCCCUGGGCGACUGGCCUGCCCCUAUCGAGGAGCGUGAGAGCCCGGCAGCCCAGCCCCUGCUGGAACACCAGUACUGAGCUACCUGGCGCCCACUGGACCUCCUCCUAGGAUUCAGUAACAGACCUGCUCUGCUGCCUCUCUGCUGGACCACAGAACUGAGUGGCUUUGGCCUCCAUGUCUGAAUCCUGACCUUUGGCUGCCUUGGCCAGAGUACCAAAACUGAGUGACCCAGACCUCUGACCUUGACCCCUGCUCUCUCUCAUCCCCAGUCCAGGGCCUGGGCUCCCCAGAUGGAGGCAGUCAGCCUCCCAGCCAGGCCCUAAGAGCCAAACCAUGGGCUGGUCCCACUUGGAGCCUGUGGCCAGGACCACCUCAGCCCCUGGGCCUGCACUGCCUGCAGGGGU